CCUACGGGAGGCAGCAGUGGGGAAUCUUGUGCAAUGGACGAAAGUCUGACACAGCCACGCCGCGUGCGGGAAGAAGGCCUUCGGGUUGUAAACCGCUUUCAGCAGGAACGAAAAUGACGGUACCUGCAGAAGAAGAUGCGGCCAACUACGUGCCAGCAGCCGCGGUGAUACGUAGGCAUCAAGCGUUGUCCGGAUUUAUUGGGCGUAAAGAGCUCGUAGGCGGUUCAGCAAGUCGGGUGUGAAAACUCUGGGCUUAACCCAGAGCCUGCACUCGAAACUGCUGUGACUAGAGUUCGGUAGGGGAGCAGGGAAUUCCUAGUGUAGCGGUGAAAUGCGCAGAUAUUAGGAGGAACACCAAUGGCGAAGGCACUGCUCUGGGCCGAUACUGACGCUGAGGAGCGAGAGCGUGGGUAGCAAACAGGAUUAGAUACCCUGGUAGUCCACGCCGUAAACGAUGGGCACUAGGUGUGGGUCUCUAACCAACGAGAUCUGCGCCGUCGCUAACGCAUUAAGUGCCCCGCCUGGGGAGUACGGUCGCAAGACUAAAACUUAAAGGAAAUUGACGG
RNAcentral lists this ribosomal RNA (566 nucleotides) under uncultured bacterium. RNAcentral's name for it is "bacterial SSU rRNA". It matches the Rfam family "Bacterial small subunit ribosomal RNA", at positions 338 to 916 of the family's 1533-position model. The record is from RNAcentral.